AAUAGAUACCCUGGUAGUCCACGCCGUAAACGAUGAGUGCUAGGUGUUGGGGGGACCCCCCUCAGUGCCGCAGGUAACCCAAUAAGCACUCCGCCUGGGGAGUACGGUCGCAAGACUGAAACUCAAAGGAAUUGACGGGGGCCCGCACAAGCGGUGGAGCAUGUGGUUUAAUUCGAAGCAACGCGAAGAACCUUACCAGGGCUUGACAUCCCGCUGACCGGUGUAGAGAUACGCCUUUCCCCUUCGGGGGACAGCGGUGACAGGUGGUGCAUGGUUGUCGUCAGCUCGUGUCGUGAGAUGUUGGGUUCAGUCCCGCAACGAGCGCAACCCUUGUUUCUAGUUGCCAGCACUUCGGGUGGGCACUCUAGAGAGACAGCCGGUGAAAGCCGGAGGAAGGUGGGGAUGACGUCAAAUCAUCAUGCCCCUUAUGUCCUGGGCUACACACGUGCUACAAUGGCUGGUACAAAGGGCAGCGAACCCGCGAGGGGGAGCCAAUCCCAAAAAACCAGUCUCAGUUCGGAUUGCAGGCUGCAACUCG
RNAcentral lists this ribosomal RNA (538 nucleotides) under uncultured bacterium. RNAcentral's name for it is "bacterial SSU rRNA". It matches the Rfam family "Bacterial small subunit ribosomal RNA", at positions 777 to 1314 of the family's 1533-position model. The record is from RNAcentral.